RNAcentral lists this ribosomal RNA (406 nucleotides) under uncultured bacterium. Its description in RNAcentral is "partial 16S ribosomal RNA". It matches the Rfam family "Bacterial small subunit ribosomal RNA", at positions 30 to 526 of the family's 1533-position model. The record is from RNAcentral.
AUUGAACGCUGGCGGCAGGCCUAACACAUGCAAGUCGAGCGAGCGGCGGACGGUUGAGUAAUGUCUGGGAAACUGCUUGAUGGAGGGGGAUAACUACUGGAAACGGUAGCUAAUACCGCAUACCAUCAGAUGUGCCCAGGUGGUAUUAGCUAGUGGGUGGGGUAACGGCUCACCUAGGCGACGAUCCCUAACUGAUCAGAGAGGAUGACCGGCCACGCUGGAACUGAGGAACGGUCCAGACGCCUACGGGAGGCAGCAGUGGGGAAUAUUGCACAAUGGACGCAAGCCUGAUGCAGCCAUGCCGCGUGUGUGAAGAAGGCCUUCGGGUUGUAAAGCACUUUCAGCGGGGAGGCGUUACCCGCAGAGGAAGCACCGGCUAACUCCGUGCCAGCAGCCGCGGUAAUAC